Molecule: ribosomal RNA, 429 nt
Filed under: bacterium
Lineage: Bacteria
Description: partial 16S ribosomal RNA
Rfam family: Bacterial small subunit ribosomal RNA
Source: RNAcentral
UAGGGAAUCUUCCACAAUGGACGCAAGUCUGAUGGAGCAACGCCGCGUGAGUGAAGAAGGUUUUCGGAUCGUAAAGCUCUGUUGUUGGUGAAGAAGGAUAGAGGCAGUAACUGGUCUUUAUUUGACGGUAAUAAACCAGAAAGUCACGGCUAACUACGUGCCAGCAGCCGCGGUAAUACGUAGGUGGCAAGCGUUGUCCGGAUUUAUUGGGCGUAAAGCGAGCGCAGGCGGAAUGAUAAGUCUGAUGUGAAAGCCCACGGCUCAACCGUGGAACUGCAUCGGAAACUGUCAUUCUUGAGUGCAGAAGAGGAGAGUGGAAUUCCAUGUGUAGCGGUGGAAUGCGUAGAUAUAUGGAAGAACACCAGUGGCGAAGGCGGCUCUCUGGUCUGCAACUGACGCUGAGGCUCGAAAGCAUGGGUAGCGAACAGG